RNAcentral lists this long non-coding RNA (202 nucleotides) under Capsicum annuum. RNAcentral describes it as "long non-coding RNA (CANN_LNC012727)". The record is from RNAcentral. Lineage: Eukaryota; Viridiplantae; Streptophyta; Magnoliopsida; Solanales; Solanaceae.
CUGAACACUGACUCUACUAAGAGUACAAGAAUGGAUAUUCUUUUGAGAUCUCUUGCCCUUAAACCUCUACCUUCGUAAACUUUUCCCUCCUCCCCGCUUUUGUUAUUUUAUCUUUUUGAGUCAGUUUCUUUUGUUGUUUUUGUGGCUGACUAGAUUAGUUCCUUAUGUUUUUUUUGAAUGCCAAUGUAUGAUAUCUUCUGGA